Long non-coding RNA from Diorhabda sublineata, 400 nucleotides. RefSeq lists it as uncharacterized. The record is from RefSeq and is a predicted model, not a curated record. NCBI's taxonomy places the organism in Eukaryota, Metazoa, Arthropoda, Insecta, Coleoptera, Chrysomelidae. The transcript has 4 exons.
CCAUUAUAAACACUAUUAUUAAGAUAUAUAUAGAUGAAAUUGUUAUUCAUAAAUUUUUUACUAGGUUUUGUGCCUAUAAAGUCCCGUGUACAAGUAGUAAUCUGUAUUUUUGAACUAUGUACCUGUAGAGUCCCACGUACUAAGUAGGAAUUCGCAUUUUUGUGCUUAUACAGUCUCACUCACACACAAUAAUAAUUUGAUAUUGGAGUUUUCUGCUUCAUCAGCUGCGAAUCGGAUGAUAAUUACGUCCCAUUUCUUACACAAAUUUAUAUGCCCUAUUCACGUAGAAGCAGCCGAAAAGGUACAGGAAGUAAGCGGCUUGACUGGCGAGAAGGAUAUUCAAAAAUUUUGGGUAGUCGCAAGAUUUGAACAGUACUUGGAAGUUGUGCCAGAAAACGAU